RNAcentral lists this ribosomal RNA (490 nucleotides) under uncultured bacterium. Its description in RNAcentral is "partial 16S ribosomal RNA". It matches the Rfam family "Bacterial small subunit ribosomal RNA", at positions 30 to 507 of the family's 1533-position model. The record is from RNAcentral.
AUUGAACGCUGGCGGCAUGCUUUACACAUGCAAGUCGGACGGCAGCGGGGUAGUGCUUGCACUACUGCCGGCGAGUGGCGAACGGGUGAGUAAUAUAUUGGAACGUACCGAGUAAUGGGGGAUAACCAAUCGAAAGAUUGGCUAAUACCGCAUACGCUCUGAGGAGGAAAGCAGGGGACCUUCGGGCCUUGCGUUAUUCGAGCGGCCAAUAUCUGAUUAGCUAGUUGGUGGGGUAAGGGCCUACCAAGGCGACGAUCAGUAGCGGGUCUGAGAGGAUGAUCCGCCACACUGGGACUGAGACACGGCCCAGACUCCUACGGGAGGCAGCAGUGGGGAAUUUUGGACAAUGGGCGCAAGCCUGAUCCAGCCAUGCCGCGUGUCUGAAGGAGGCCUUCGGGUUGUAAAGGACUUUUGUUAGGGAAGAAAAAGGAGCGGUUAAUACCCGGUUCUGCUGACGGUACCUAAAGAAUAAGCACCGGCUAACUACGUG